This 66-nucleotide transfer RNA is filed under the name Panulirus stimpsoni (Chinese spiny lobster). Its description in RNAcentral is "tRNA-Met". The record is from RNAcentral. Lineage: Eukaryota; Metazoa; Arthropoda; Malacostraca; Decapoda; Palinuridae.
AAAAAGAUAAGCUAAGUAAAAGCUAAUGGGCUCAUACCCCAUCCAUGUGAAUUUUCACUCUUUUUU